CUACGGGUCGCUGCAGUGAGGAAUAUUGCACAAUGGGGGGAACCCUGAUGCAGCAACGCCGCGUGGGGGAUGACGCAUUUCGGUGUGUAAACUCCUUUUAUAUGUCAAGAAAAUGACGGUAGCAUAUGAAUAAGCACCGGCUGACUCCGUGCCAGCAGCCGCGGUAAUACGGAGGGUGCAAGCGUUACUCGGAAUCACUGGGCGUAAAGGACGCGUAGGCGGGUUGGAAAGUCAGGUGUGAAAUCCUACAGCUUAACUGUAGAACUGCACUUGAAACUUCUAAUCUAGAGUAUGGGAGGGGGGGAUGGAAUUAGUGGUGUAGGGGUAAAAUCCGUAGAUAUCACUAGGAAUACCUAAAGCGAAGGCGAUCUCCUGGAACAUUACUGACGCUAAGGCGUGAAAGCGUGGGGAGCAAACAGGAUUAGAUACCCCCGUAGUC
This 439-nucleotide ribosomal RNA is filed under the name uncultured bacterium. Its description in RNAcentral is "partial 16S ribosomal RNA". It matches the Rfam family "Bacterial small subunit ribosomal RNA", at positions 339 to 795 of the family's 1533-position model. The record is from RNAcentral.